RNAcentral lists this ribosomal RNA (253 nucleotides) under uncultured bacterium. Its description in RNAcentral is "partial 16S ribosomal RNA". It matches the Rfam family "Bacterial small subunit ribosomal RNA", at positions 524 to 776 of the family's 1533-position model. The record is from RNAcentral.
UACGGGGGGGGCAAGCGUUGUUCGGAAUUACUGGGCGUAAAGGGCUCGUAGGUGGCCAACUAAGUCAGACGUGAAAUCCCUCGGCUUAACCGGGGAACUGCGUCUGAUACUGGAUGGCUUGAGGUUGGGAGAGGGAUGCGGAAUUCCAGGUGUAGCGGUGAAAUUCGUAGAUAUUCGGAAGAACACCAGUGGCGAAGGCGGCUCACUGGCCCGGUACUGACGCUGAGGUGCGAAAGCGUGGGGAGCAAACAGG